AAAGGAGGGUGCCCUUCGGGAAUUCAGUGACAGGUGCUGCAUGGCUGUCGUCAGCUCGUCCCGUGAGGUCUUGGGUUAAGUCCCGCAAGGAGCGCAACCCUUAUUGUUAGUUGCCAUCACAUAAUGGUGGCACUCUAGUGAGACUGCCCGUGUCAACCGAGAAGAAGGUGGAGACGACGUCAAGUCAUCAUGCCCCAUACGCAUAGGGAUACACACGUACUACAAUGGUGCAUACAAAGGGUUGCGAAACCGCGAGAUCAAGCCAAUCCCAAAAAAUGCAUCCCAGUCCUGAUCGGAGUAUGCAACUCGACGCCGUGAAGUUCGAUUCGCUAGUAAUCCCGGAUCAGCAUGCCGGGGUGAAUACGUUCCCGGGCCAUGUACACACCGCCCGUCACACCACGA
RNAcentral lists this ribosomal RNA (402 nucleotides) under uncultured delta proteobacterium. RNAcentral's name for it is "bacterial SSU rRNA". It matches the Rfam family "Bacterial small subunit ribosomal RNA", at positions 1005 to 1407 of the family's 1533-position model. Lineage: Bacteria; Deltaproteobacteria. The record is from RNAcentral.